Molecule: long non-coding RNA, 274 nt
Filed under: Trifolium pratense (red clover)
Lineage: Eukaryota; Viridiplantae; Streptophyta; Magnoliopsida; Fabales; Fabaceae
Description: long non-coding RNA (TPRA_LNC006985)
Source: RNAcentral
UGUUUCAGCACCAGUACCGGCCUGCAUAAUUUGUAAUGGUUUAGUAGUCUUGUAAUCAUCUUUGUGAGGUAGAGUUUGAGUACUUCUUGUACUUUAUCGGUUCUUGGUGGGUUCAGUACCACUUGUACUCUGUUCUCUCUUUCUCCGUUAAUAAAUUUUUCGCUGUUAAAAAAAUAGUCCUGUGAUCAUCUACUAAGAUGCUACAACUGAUUUGUUAUAUUCUUGAAUGUAGUUGUGAUUGAAUAAAUCAUUUUAAGAUGGGAUUGACAAGCUG